GUAAAAUAACUGCAUGAUUUAAUGAGUAGCAAAAGAAAAAUGUGCUUCUAUGUAUACUUCGUGUGUGUGUUCCGUGACCCACCAGAAAAGUAGAAAACCUGUCCUCGAUUUGUGUCAGCCAGUCAGCGAUGGUGAGGGGGGGAGAUCGGAAAGCAGCGCUGAUUGGCUGAGAGGAGCAUUGUGCGCUUGUCAAUCUAUCUCGCAUGUUGAGGUGACUAUUAACAGCUGGGCCGGAGGACAAGUUUUUCAGAGUUACCAAGCAGAGCGACUGUGUGACAAGUGCAAUUCUAAUACGACUGUCUUAACCAUUUCGAUUUUGUCAGACUGAGAAGUAUGCAGGUGCAGUGCGGUGGCUAAAGUUGUCAGAAUCACUGCUCCAGGUUUGAAUCCCGUCUUCAAGAUUGUACAAAUUCCACCAUCUAAUAUUUUAAAAGAUAAGGAAACCUGAAGUUUCAAGGUAAGGUUGUUCUACUUCCUAAUUAUGGGACCAGAGAGUGGCGACAUGUCGCAUGCUGAUUUAAUACAUGAAAUAUUCACAAGAAGCCAGCACAUAUAUCAGGAUUGAGGUACGAAACAACUCUGGAAGGAAUGCCAGUUCUUCCUAGAUACACACCCAGAACCAGUUACACAGGGUCAAAUUACCAUUGUUAAUUGAGAAUAUAGCUUGCAGGUUUGGGAUGUGGGUGAGAAACUGGCUGCCUGGAUAAAGCUCAUGGAUGGUGGGGAUUGUACGUUCUCCAAACAGAGGCUGGAAGUUGAUCUGUGGAAUUGUAAGAUGGCAGCCUAACCAGUGUUCCUCCUUUGCAAGCCUCACCAUGUAAUGGGUAUGUUCAGUUUAAACUAGUAUUGCCUCCUGAGUUAAAGUGAGUGCACAUGCUUCCAAGUUAUGAAUGCAAAAGGUUUUCAUUUUAAUGUACUGCUUAUCCUUAAAAGGAGGUUAUAUGAUCACCUCUGGACUUACAGUGAGCAUUCUUCUUUUUUUUUUUUUUGGGGUGCUAGGUAAAACUUCAAAAAUGUUGUGCCACAAUAUUUGAUAAGGUCUUUCAUAUGCCAAUAUGUUUUAAAGGCAACAUUCUAAUAGCAUUGCUUUUGAAAACUUUUUGGUACGAUAAACAAAGCAAAAAUGACAAAAGUCCAACUGCACAAGCUUUUCCUCAGACAUCACAUUUUGUUUCCCCUUCCCUUAUUUUUCUAAUUCUGACUUUAUUCCCCCCCCUCCAUACGUGACAUCAAAACUAAUUUCCCUUUACCUACUGUAGUUAACAUGCUGUUUACCAGUAACUGUCAGAUUAUCCGUGUAUGAUGGGCUCAUUCCAGGAGGUGUCUGUUUUUAAGUUUUACUUCAGAGUGUUUGAUAUUUUCGUGAGCUUUUAUCUUUGUCAUAAACAGGAUUAUGAUUUUCUUCAGUCCAGGAAUUCAGCCUCAGAGAAAGAAAGUUGCAUUUGUUUGUUGUCUGAAUGCUUGCUUGUCAUUAGAUCUUUCAUUGUCAUGGGGAUAAGACAUUUCAGUUAAAAGGUACAAGUAUGAUUUUCACUGUUCAGUGCAAGUAUGGACACAACCAGGUUCACAAUUUUUAAUUAAAUAUAUUACGGGAU
Molecule: long non-coding RNA, 1595 nt
Organism: Polypterus senegalus (gray bichir)
Lineage: Eukaryota; Metazoa; Chordata; Cladistia; Polypteriformes; Polypteridae
Exons: 5
Source: RefSeq, a predicted model, not a curated record